RNAcentral lists this unclassified non-coding RNA (272 nucleotides) under plant metagenome. RNAcentral's name for it is "partial contains small subunit ribosomal RNA, internal transcribed spacer 1, and 5.8S ribosomal RNA". The record is from RNAcentral.
UUUCCGUAGGUGAACCUGCGGAAGGAUCAUUAAUGAGUUGACAUGGGGUUCGAUGCUGGCAGCCAGUUUUUGGAUGCAUGUGCUUGCCCUAACAAUCAUCUUCUUCCAAACACCUGUGCACAUUUUUGAGGGAGUCUUGAGUUGGUUGCCGCUCUUGGGUGAUUUUCUCACAUUCCCUUAAAUCAUUAUACGCUAUUAACAAUGUUGAACGUGCUCUGUGCCGCAAGGCCAUUAAUAUAAUACAACUUUUAACAACGGAUCUCUUGGCUCUC